UGGGGAAUAUUGCACAAUGGGCGCAAGCCUGAUGCAGCCAUGCCGCGUGUAUGAAGAAGGCCUUCGGGUUGUAAAGUACUUUCAGCGAGGAGGAAGGCAUUAAGGUUAAUAACCUUAGUGAUUGACGUUACUCGCAGAAGAAGCACCGGCUAACUCCGUGCCAGCAGCCGCGGUAAUACGGAGGGUGCAAGCGUUAAUCGGAAUUACUGGGCGUAAAGCGCACGCAGGCGGUCUGUCAAGUCGGAUGUGAAAUCCCCCGGGCUCAACCUGGGAACUGCAUCCGAAACUGGCAGGCUAGAGUCUUGUAGAGGGGUGGA
Molecule: ribosomal RNA, 317 nt
Filed under: uncultured Enterobacteriaceae bacterium
Lineage: Bacteria; Pseudomonadati; Pseudomonadota; Gammaproteobacteria; Enterobacterales; Enterobacteriaceae
Description: bacterial SSU rRNA
Rfam family: Bacterial small subunit ribosomal RNA
Source: RNAcentral